RNAcentral lists this ribosomal RNA (1033 nucleotides) under uncultured bacterium. RNAcentral's name for it is "bacterial SSU rRNA". It matches the Rfam family "Bacterial small subunit ribosomal RNA", at positions 338 to 1398 of the family's 1533-position model. The record is from RNAcentral.
CCUACGGGGGGCAGCAGUGGGGAAUAUUGCACAAUGGACGAAAGUCUGAUGCAGCCACCCUGCGUGGAGGAUGAAGCAUUACGGUGUGUAAACUCCUUUUCUGGAGGAAGACGACUGACGGUACUCCAGAAUAAAGCGACGGCUAACUACGUGCCAGCAGCCGCGGUAAUACGUAGGUCGCAAGCGUUAUCCGGAUUUACUGGGCGUAAAGCGUCCGCAGCCGGUGCUAUAAGUCUACUUUUAAAAACCAGCGCUCAACGUUGGAGAGGGAGUGGAUACUGUAGUACUCGAGACUAGUAGAGGUGAGUAGAAUUUCCAGUGGAGGGGUGAAAUCCGUUGAUAUUGGAAGGAAUACCAAAAGCGAAGGCAGCUCACUAUACUAAGUCUGACGGUCAGGGACGAAAGCAUGGGUAGCAAACGGGAUUAGAUACCCCGGUAGUCCAUGCCGUAAAUGAUGCUCGCUAGAUGUAUUCUCCCUCGGGAGGGUGUGUUGUAAGCUAACGCGUUAAGCGAGUCGCCUGAGUAGUAUAGUCGCAAGACUGAAACUCAAAGGGAUAGGCGGGGGAACACACAAGCAGAGGAUUGCCUCGAUUAAUUGGAUAAUACGCCAAGAAUCUUACCUGGGUUUGACAUCCCGAGAAUCCUAUCGAAAGACUGGAGUGCCACGCUUGCGUGGAGCUCGGUGACAGAUGCUGCAUGGCCGUCGUCAGCUCGUGCCGCAAGGUGUCCGGUUAAGUCCGGAAACGAGCGCAACCCUCAUCACUAGUUAGAAUGUCUAGUGAGACUGCCUCGGUAACGAGGAGGAAGGAGAGGAUGACGUCAGGUCACUAUGGCUCUUACAUCCAGGGCGUCAGAGACAAUACAAUGGGUAGUACAGCAGGUAGCCAAGCCGUGAGGCGGAGCCAAUCCCUAAAACUACCCUCAGUACGGAUUGUAGUCUGGAACUCGACUACAUGAAGUUGGAUUUGCUAGUAAUGGUGGGUCAGCCAUACCACCGUGAAUAUGUCCCUGUUCCUUGCACACACCGCCCGUC